Molecule: long non-coding RNA, 274 nt
Filed under: Homo sapiens (human)
Lineage: Eukaryota; Metazoa; Chordata; Mammalia; Primates; Hominidae
Description: HSALNT0402503
Source: RNAcentral
AUCUUUCCUAGUUGUGUCCAUUUCCCCUCCCUGGCUUCUCCUGCAGCAUCUUUCCCUGUAGUUGUGUCCAUUUCCCCUCCCUGGCUUCUCCUGUAGCAUCUUUCCUAGUUGUGUCCAUUUCCCCUCCCUGGCUUCUCCUCCUGCAGCAUCUUUCCCUGUAGUUGUGUCCAUUCCCCCUCCCUGGCUUCUCCUGUAGCAUCUUUCCUAGUUGUGUCCAUUUCCCCUCCCUGGCUUCUCCUGUAGCAUCUUUCCCUGUAGUUGUGUCCAUUUCCCC